GAUAUGAUAUUAAUCAUUUUAUCUUGCAACUUCUGUAAAGUACACUAGGGUGGAAAAUGCCAUGAAAAGUUCUUGAGGAGGGGGAAUAAGAUAUUUUAAUAAAUAACUGUCAUAUAGCAGAAUUUCUUAUAUAGAUCAGGUUUUUUCUACCCCACUGACUUACUUGAUAUCAUAUCAAUGGUAUUCUUCAAGUUGUCUAUAUGGAUGCCUGAGAUGAGGAUGUUUGCUUGCAAUUGCAUUCUUAAUUGGAGUUUUUUGUUUUGGCUAGUAGUGUCAUCAAGUUCAUAAGUGGGAGCUGACAGACAUGCUAUUUUGAAAGAUCAGCCUUACCAGGGGCCUUCCCCAGGUAGACCUUUUUUCCAUGCCUUCCAACUUAAAAUGGCAGUUUUCUCAGAGCAGAGUGUGGAAGAUGCACAGUUGUGACUCCCUGGGAGAUGGUCUUCUGGCACAUUGGUCCCUUAUAUGCUUUCCCUCCAAUUUCACUGAUCCAUAAAGCCCUGCUCAAAGAGAAAGCCAUGAUCAUUUUCAUAACCACAGUGUGGCCAAGAUCAAUGUGGUUCCUGACCCAUCUGGUCUGCCUCUACCUUCUUGUAAUAAUUGAUCUUCUGGCUCUGUAGUAGGGCUCCAUAACCUGCCCCAGUUUAUCAUCCCAGCUUCUCAGGCCUAGAGCAGGAACGUUGUUCUGAAGUUCAGGUGUGUGUGUGUGUGUGUAUAUGCCAGGGGAGAAUUGGUAGAAGAUGCAUAAUGUUGAGUGUACCAGAUCUGGAAGUACUUCUACUCUUGCAAGUCCUUUUUAAAUAGCGGGAAAUCUUCAGCUUUUGUACUAAUCCUGAAAUUGAUGGGCUUGUUCCUGAGCUCUGUCAGGGUUCAUUUAUCUUCCAUUACAGCUUUCCAUCUGCCACUC
This is a long non-coding RNA of Dermochelys coriacea (leatherback sea turtle), 904 nucleotides long. RefSeq lists it as uncharacterized. Lineage: Eukaryota; Metazoa; Chordata; Testudines; Dermochelyidae. The transcript has 2 exons. The record is from RefSeq and is a predicted model, not a curated record.